GAGACGGCGGGAUGCUGCCCAAGGCUCCAGCCUGCAAGUGUGGAAGCAUGUGAGAGCCCCUGGGCCCCUGAGAUGCGGCAGAAACCCCAGCCCCGCCUCUCACUGGCUGGAGGAGCCUGGGCCUGUUACCUCUCCCGGCCUCACCUUCUCCACCGUUGCAGGGAGUGGGGAGCGUGUGCCAAGAGCCCCUUCCAGCUGGUGACCCGAGGAUGCGGCCUGAGGAGUCCUCCAUCCUUAACAAAGGUGCUUCCCUCUGCCCAGCUCUCCUGACCUUAUGUGUGGGGCUCAGGAAUGGCUUCGGGGCAGGGGCUGGCAUCUACCUCCCAGGUCUAGGCAGCCAUGCCAUCCAUCUGGUCUCUCUGGGACUCAGUUUCCCCACACCUGAAGGAGAGGAGAAGGGCAAGGAGGAGAAAGGGAGCAGGCAAGGCCACUGAGCCCGGUGCUGUCAAGGGUGGCGUCCCCUCGGUGAGUCCAUGUUCCAGCUCACUAAAAGCAGGCCCAAGGAAGUCAAUUUCGUGGAGCUUGUUCACUGGCUGGGGACUGCCCAGGUCCCCUCCGUGCCCACCAGGCACUUCCCCUCUCAGGGCCACCCUUUUCCACCCGUGAAUUGAAGAGAUGGACGAGGGCGACGGUGACAGGCACGGAGGGUCAGCGCGGCAGGCAGGUGCUGCUGUCACCCCACUGCACAGCUGGGAGACCCGAGGCUGCCGAGGUGUGCAGGGCCUCACUUGCUCAGGGCCACACCGCCAGGAAGAGGCCCAAGAGGGAUUAGAACCCAGCUCUGUGUC
This 788-nucleotide long non-coding RNA is filed under the name Equus caballus (horse). Its description in RNAcentral is "lncRNA (ENSECAG00000050462.1)". Lineage: Eukaryota; Metazoa; Chordata; Mammalia; Perissodactyla; Equidae. The record is from RNAcentral.